AACGAACGCUGGCGGCAGGCUUAACACAUGCAAGUCGAACGGAUCCUUCGGGAUUAGUGGCAGACGGGUGAGUAACGCGUGGGAACGUACCCUUUGCUACGGAAUAACUCAGGGAAACUUGAGCUAAUACCGUAUGUGCCCUACGGGGGAAAGAUUUAUCGGCAAAGGAUCGGCCCGCGUUGGAUUAGCUAGUUGGUGGGGUAAUGGCCUACCAAGGCGACGAUCCAUAGCUGGUCUGAGAGGAUGAUCAGCCACACUGGGACUGAGACACGGCCCAGACCCCUACGGGGGGCCGCAGGGGGGAAUAUGGGACAAUGGGCGCAAGCCUGACCCAGCCAUGCCGGGGGAGUGAUGAAGGUCUUAGGAUUUUAAAGCUCUUUCACCGGUGAAGAUAAGGACGGUAGCCGGAAAAGAAGCCCCGGCUAACUUCGU
RNAcentral lists this ribosomal RNA (432 nucleotides) under uncultured bacterium. RNAcentral describes it as "partial 16S ribosomal RNA". It matches the Rfam family "Bacterial small subunit ribosomal RNA", at positions 29 to 506 of the family's 1533-position model. The record is from RNAcentral.